AGUGAACGCUGGCGGUAGGCCUAACACAUGCAAGUCGAACGGCAGCACAGUAAGAGCUUGCUCUUACGGGUGGCGAGUGGCGGACGGGUGAGGAAUACAUCGGAAUCUACUUUUUCGUGGGGGAUAACGUAGGGAAACUUACGCUCAUACCGCAUCCGACCUACGGGUGAAAGCAGGGGAUCUUCGGACCUUGCGCGAUUGAAUGAGCCGAUGUCGGAUUAGCAAGUUGGCGGGGUAAAGGCCCACCAAGUCGACGAUCCGUAGCUGGUCUGAGAGGAUGAUCAGCCACACUGGAACUGAGACACGGUCCAGACUCCUACGGGAGGCAGCAGUGGGGAAUAUUGGACAAUGGGCGCAAGCCUGAUCCAGCCAUACCGCGUGGGUGAAGAAGGCCUUCGGGUUGUAAAGCCCUUUUGUUGGGAAAGAAAAGCAGCAGGUUAAUACCCCGCUGUUCUGACGGUACCCAAAGAAUAAGCACCGGCUAACUUCGUG
Molecule: ribosomal RNA, 492 nt
Filed under: uncultured bacterium
Lineage: Bacteria
Description: partial 16S ribosomal RNA
Rfam family: Bacterial small subunit ribosomal RNA
Source: RNAcentral